AAAGGAAGAUUCAUCGCAAGGAUGUAACAGGCAGUUUCCUACCCAUUUGAGAACGAUCAAGAGUGGGAGAAGCACACACUCUGUCUGUCCCUGACGUGUGCGGUCCACCUCCCUCCUCUUCUGGACCAUCCUCAACUCUGUAGGGCCCCGGGUUGUUGACCCAGCUCUGACUCCAUGACCUCUGCAUUCAAGUGCUCAUUCUCAUCUCACAAGGGUCUUUGCUUUUUGGAGCAAAGUCUUGAGAUUCAGAGA
This 252-nucleotide long non-coding RNA is filed under the name Bos taurus (domestic cattle). RNAcentral describes it as "long non-coding RNA NONBTAT007419". Lineage: Eukaryota; Metazoa; Chordata; Mammalia; Artiodactyla; Bovidae. The record is from RNAcentral.